Molecule: long non-coding RNA, 1098 nt
Organism: Portunus trituberculatus (swimming crab)
Lineage: Eukaryota; Metazoa; Arthropoda; Malacostraca; Decapoda; Portunidae
Exons: 2
Source: RefSeq, a predicted model, not a curated record
UCAGAGAGAGAGAGAGAGAGAGAGAGAGAGAGGGAGAGAGAGAGAGAGAGAGAGAGAGAGAAUUUCUUGUUCUGUGAAAUCUUGUCUUAUUGUUGUUGGUUUAUUUAUUUUAAUUGUUUCCUUUAUUACCUGGCCUAUCUGGAAGUAGAGGUUAGGAUAGGAAGCUCUCUCUCUCUCUCUCUCUCUCUCUCUCUCUCUCUCUCUCUCUCUCUCUCUCUCUCUCUCUCUCUCGUAUGUGUGUUAAGAGAUAGCUAGAUAGAUACCAAAAUAUUUAUUGACAACAAUAUCUGCGUACAAUAAACAGUGAAAUAUUUAAUUCCUGCAUCGCUUUGCUUUAGUAAAUGUAAUGCAAACGAGCGAACUUUUUUAAAGUUCGUUGGUUUUAGUUCCGGUAUCCAUCACACCUGAUGCUCUCAGCCAGGUAAACCCCUAGUAAAACUCCUAGUAAAACCACUUUAACUCACGAGCCGGAGCUGCCGAUCUUAGCAAUGCCAGGCCAGCGCAUUACCACUCACAAUGUAUGUAUAGCUAUGUAUACUGUAGUGUUUUAUCAUCCGCAAAGGAAAGGAAAUGCUUGGGCUUAAUGCCUAUCGACUGCACAAGUGUUAUUAAGGCAAGACAUGUCAGCUUGUGGCCAAUCCUUUGCUGGGGUUGAAGAAAAACCACAACCAACCUCACCUAGUAACUGCCGUGGGUCAGGAUCAAACUCACGCCAUCACGACCACGAGCCGACACCUUUACCAUGGAGCUACACUGCCCACUCCCAUUAUCUGCCUUAGCUAUCGCAGUGUGUGUGUGUGUGUGUGUGUGUGUGUGUGUGUGUGUGUGUGUGUGAGAGAGAGAGAGAGAGAGAGAGAGAGAGAGAGAGAGAGAGAGACAGGUGGGGAGGCGAAAUGGCCACAUGGGAUGUGUAAUGGUAAUUAGAUUUUAAUAGAAAUUUAGUUGAUUUAAGGGAAUUCUACAAAAAUGUAUUGCAAUAAUUACUAUGGCUCAUAAGUCAAUUGAACAGACGUCGGCCCGGAAAUAUAUGUGAUUAUUGAACUAAUUUGCUCAUAUGUUGUAUUUCCUCUUCCAAAAUUAGAAUUUCACCACUGCAGA